Molecule: long non-coding RNA, 961 nt
Organism: Clupea harengus (Atlantic herring)
Lineage: Eukaryota; Metazoa; Chordata; Actinopteri; Clupeiformes; Clupeidae
Source: Ensembl
ACCGCACCAUCACACUUACUCUCUUCCUCUGGUUACUCCUGACAACCGCACCAUCACACUUACCCUCUUCCUCUGGUUACUCCUGACAACCGCACCAUCACACUUACCCUCUUCCUCUGGUUACUCCUGACAACCGCACCAUCACACUUACCCUCUUCCUCUGGUUACUCCUGACAACCGCACCAUCACACUUACCCUCUUCCUCUGGUUGCUCCUGACAACCGCACCAUCACACUUACCCUCUUCUUCCUCACGUCUCGUCCCUCCACAGACACCUCCAGUUGGCCUGCUGCUUUUGGGGGUCUGGGACACCUCAGCUCCUCAGCUUUUGGGCGUCUGGGACACCUCAGCUCCUCAGCUUUUGGGCGUCUGGGACACCUCAGCUCCUCAGCUUUUGGGCGUCUGGGACACCCAGUGCCCGCGCAAAGGAAACGCUCAGACAAGCGCAGCUCAGCUCGAAGACACCGUAGGAACGAGCAGCACCGCAGAAGCACGGCCAGAGGGAGGGACACGUCUGGGAACACGGAGACGGACAGAGACAAGGACACACACCGAGACGGGGACACGUCUGGGAACAUGGCGACGGACAGAGACAAAGACACACACCGAGACGGGGACACGUCUAGAGGAAAGGACUUGCAUAGAGACAGGAACAGAGAUACACUCAAAGACAACGCACACACCAACAGCAGCCCAGACCAGUUAGAGGUCAGUGGGGACAGCAGCCCAGACCAGUUAGAGGUCAAUGAGGACAGCAGCCCAGACCAGUUAGAGGUCAAUGAGGACAGCAGCCCAGACCAGUUAGAGGUCAAAAGUGAGGACCAGUUAGAGGUCAAUGAGGACCAGUUAGAGGUCAGUGAGGUCAGUGGGGACAGCAGCCCAGACCAGUUAGAGGUGCGAGGUGAGUGGGUGAAGGAGGAGGUAAAGAGACCCAGGCUGGAGCCGGGGCGAGGGGAGUGGG